RNAcentral lists this long non-coding RNA (591 nucleotides) under Prunus dulcis (almond). RNAcentral's name for it is "sRNA ncRNA". Lineage: Eukaryota; Viridiplantae; Streptophyta; Magnoliopsida; Rosales; Rosaceae. The record is from RNAcentral.
CCACCAUCUUCAACCUCUCCCUGCAAUCACCAUUUUCAACCUGCACCAGCCCCACCCACCCCUGGCCUUUCUCUCCCUUGAACCUCCACCAUCUCCACCAUAACAUACCAGUCACCAUAACCCACCCAAAUUCAGGGAGAACAAAUAAAAAUCAAUUCCUAAACUGAUUUCAAAACCUAAACUUGGAGUACAUUUUCAUAUCUGCACUGAAGCGCCACUAAUUUUACUUCCUUGACUGAACCCAUUUCCCUAUAAUGUCAAACUCCGACCCGAAAACCCGACCUUGUCCAGAUCCAUGGCCUCCCGCUCCAGAUUCCGCCCCAAGUUCUCUCGCGAAACCAAUGGCAGUGAUUCAGGUAAGAUAUCUUUGCCGCUACCCCGGUCCUGAGAGCCCGAAGCCCAUCCUGAUCUCGAAGCUAUACGGGUUUGGCCUCAACCGGCUCUGAAUGGCGUGCCCGAGCUCGAGGUGGUUGCACCGAAAUGGGCAGCGCCCAGGUACGAGAGAGAGAGAGAGAGAGAGAGAGAGAGAGAGAGAGAGUGUGUGUGUGUGUGUGUGUGUGUGUGUGUGCAGCGCCCUGUUGGAUGUUGGAG